This 465-nucleotide ribosomal RNA is filed under the name uncultured bacterium. Its description in RNAcentral is "partial 16S ribosomal RNA". It matches the Rfam family "Bacterial small subunit ribosomal RNA", at positions 28 to 507 of the family's 1533-position model. The record is from RNAcentral.
GAUGAACGCUGGCGGCGUGCUUAACACAUGCAAGUCGAACGGAAAGGCUCCUGCUUGCCGGGGUACUCGAGUGGCGAACGGGUGAGUAACACGUGGGUGAUCUGCCCUGCACUUCGGGAUAAGCCUGGGAAACUGGGGCUAAUACCGGAUAGGAUGUUGUUUUGCAUGUCAUUGUGGAGAGUUUUUCGGUGUUGGUUGAGCUCGUGGCCUAUUAGCUUGUUGGUGGGGUAAUGGCCUACCAAGGCGUCGACGGGUAGCCGGCAUGAGAGGGUGUACGGCCACAUUGGGACUGAGAUACGGCCCAGACGCCUACGGGAGGCAGCAGUGGGGAAUAUUGCACAAUGGGGGCAAGCCUGAUGCAGCGACGCCGCGUGGGGGAUGACGGCCUUCGGGUUGUAAACAACUUUCGAAAGGGACGAAGCGCUAGUGACGGUACCUGGAGAAGAAGCACCGGCUAACUACGUG